GCUCGGAUGGUGGAACUGGUAGACACGCAAGGUUGAGGGCCUUGUGGGCGUCUUGCCCAUGCGAGUUCAAGUCUCGCUUCGAGCA
RNAcentral lists this transfer RNA (85 nucleotides) under Spirochaetota bacterium. Its description in RNAcentral is "Spirochaetes bacterium (freshwater sediment metagenome) tRNA-Leu". It matches the Rfam family "tRNA". From Rfam's summary of the family: Transfer RNA (tRNA) molecules are approximately 80 nucleotides in length. Their secondary structure includes four short double-helical elements and three loops (D, anti-codon, and T loops). The record is from RNAcentral. Lineage: Bacteria; Pseudomonadati; Spirochaetota.